CGCCUGUUUAUCAAAAACAUCUCUUCUCGUUAGUUUUUGAAGUAUGGCCUGCCCACUGACCUUGAAUGUUGAAGGGCCGCGGUAUUUUGACCGUGCAAAGGUAGCAUAGUCAUUAGUUCUUUAAUUGUGAUCUGGUAUGAAUGGCUUGACGAGGCAUAAGCUGUCUUAAUUUUGAAUUGUUUAUUGAAUUUGGUCUUUGAGUUAAAAUUCUUAGAUGUUUUUAUGGGACGAGAAGACCCUAUAGAGUUUGACAUUUAUUAUGGUCUCUUUCUGUUUGUGAGGGUUCACUAGGGCUGUCAAAUAUGUUUUGUUGGGGUGAUGGGAGGGAUAUUAUUUAACCCCUCCUUUGUGUUGUUAUAUUUAUUUAUAUUUGCUUGAUCCAUUUAUUUUGAUUGUAAGAUUAAAUUACCUUAGGGAUAACAGCGUAA
Molecule: ribosomal RNA, 428 nt
Filed under: Reticulitermes flavipes (eastern subterranean termite)
Lineage: Eukaryota; Metazoa; Arthropoda; Insecta; Blattodea; Rhinotermitidae
Description: partial 16S ribosomal RNA
Rfam family: Archaeal large subunit ribosomal RNA
Source: RNAcentral